AUCACACGACAGGGGAGCGCCACCAGGCGCUGAGAGUGCGGGCAACCGCAGACCCUCGAACCUGAUCCGGUUAGCACCGGUGGAGGGAGUCGGGAAUCUCGACCG
Molecule: non-coding RNA, 105 nt
Filed under: Angustibacter sp. Root456
Lineage: Bacteria; Bacillati; Actinomycetota; Actinomycetes; Kineosporiales; Kineosporiaceae
Also listed under: 1 other name
Description: TPP riboswitch aptamer (THI element)
Rfam family: TPP riboswitch aptamer (THI element)
About the family: Vitamin B(1) in its active form thiamin pyrophosphate (TPP) is an essential coenzyme that is synthesised by coupling of pyrimidine and thiazole moieties in bacteria.
Source: Rfam by way of RNAcentral